UUGUGUAGAGAGCCGAAACUUCUUCCGUUUCCCGGAUUUUCCAGGAGAGGAGGAGGUGCGGGGGAUGAUUUAUUUCGGAACCGUGUGUAUGACUGCGGCGUCCGAUAGGGGUGAAUCGCUGGCAGCAGCGUGGGCGACUUCUCAGUCCGAACCCGACAACUAACCUCGUAGGCAAUACCGAGAAGGAGC
RNAcentral lists this small RNA (189 nucleotides) under Paenibacillus sp. Its description in RNAcentral is "c-di-AMP sequence". It matches the Rfam family "c-di-AMP riboswitch aptamer (ydaO/yuaA leader)". Rfam says of the family: This family represents a conserved RNA structure found upstream of the ydaO and yuaA genes in Bacillus subtilis and related genes in other bacteria. The ydaO/yuaA element is thought to act as a genetic "off" switch for the ydaO and yuaA genes in its native state. The record is from RNAcentral. RNAcentral also lists the same sequence under 1 other name. Lineage: Bacteria; Bacillati; Bacillota; Bacilli; Caryophanales; Paenibacillaceae.